RNAcentral lists this ribosomal RNA (523 nucleotides) under uncultured bacterium. RNAcentral's name for it is "partial 16S ribosomal RNA". It matches the Rfam family "Bacterial small subunit ribosomal RNA", at positions 28 to 523 of the family's 1533-position model. The record is from RNAcentral.
GACGAACGCUGGCGGCGUGCCUAAUACAUGCAAGUCGAGCGCAGGAAGCCGUCUGAACCCUUCGGGGGGACGACGGCGGAAUGAGCGGCGGACGGGUGAGUAACACGUAAAGAACCUGCCCAUAGGUCUGGGAUAACCACGAGAAAUCGGGGCUAAUACCGGAUGUGUCAUCGGACCGCAUGGUCCGCUGAUGAAAGGCGCUCCGGCGUCGCCCAUGGAUGGCUUUGCGGUGCAUUAGCUAGUUGGUGGGGUAACGGCCCACCAAGGCGACGAUGCAUAGCCGACCUGAGAGGGUGAUCGGCCACACUGGGACUGAGACACGGCCCAGACUCCUACGGGAGGCAGCAGUAGGGAAUCUUCCACAAUGGACGAAAGUCUGAUGGAGCAACACCGUGUGAACGAUGAAGGCUUUCGGGUCGUAAGUUCUGUUGUAAGGGAAGAACAAGUGCCGCAGGCAAUGGCGGCACCUUGACAGUACCUUGCGAGAAAGCCACGGCUAACUACGUGCCAGCAGCCGCCGUAA